AGUGAACGCUGGCGGUAGGCCUAACACAUGCAAGUCGAACGGCAGCACAGUAAGAGCUUGCUCUUACGGGUGGCGAGUGGCGGACGGGUGAGGAAUACAUCGGAAUCUACUUUUUCGUGGGGGAUAACGUAGGGAAACUUACGCUAAUACCGCAUACGACCUACGGGUGAAAGCAGGGGAUCUUCGGACCUUGCGCGAUUGAAUGAGCCGAUGUCGGAUUAGCUAGUUGGCGGGGUAAAGGCCCACCAAGGCGACGAUCCGUAGCUGGUCUGAGUGGAUGAUCAGCCACACUGUAACGGAGACACGGUCCAGACUCCUACGGGAGGCAGCAGUGGGGAAUAUUGGACAAUGGACGCAAGCAUGAUCCAGCCAUACCGAGUGGGUGAAGAAGGCCUUAGGGUUGUAAAGCCAUUUUGUUGGGAAAGAAAAGCAGCAGGUUAAUACCCCGCUGUUCUGACGGUACCCAAAGAAUAAGCACCGGCUAACUUCGUG
Molecule: ribosomal RNA, 492 nt
Filed under: uncultured bacterium
Lineage: Bacteria
Description: partial 16S ribosomal RNA
Rfam family: Bacterial small subunit ribosomal RNA
Source: RNAcentral